This 307-nucleotide RNase P RNA is filed under the name Flavobacterium sp. RNAcentral describes it as "RNase P RNA component class A". It matches the Rfam family "Bacterial RNase P class A". From Rfam's summary of the family: Ribonuclease P (RNase P) is a ubiquitous endoribonuclease, found in archaea, bacteria and eukarya as well as chloroplasts and mitochondria. Its best characterised activity is the generation of mature 5'-ends of tRNAs by cleaving the 5'-leader elements of precursor-tRNAs. The record is from RNAcentral. Lineage: Bacteria; Pseudomonadati; Bacteroidota; Flavobacteriia; Flavobacteriales; Flavobacteriaceae.
ACAGCAGACCGCCUUAUCGCUGUUCAGUAAUGAAGAGAGGAAAGUCCGGACACCACAGAGUAGCAUAUUGGGUAACGCCCAACCGUUGAAAGACGAGGACAAGUGCAACAGAAAGCAAGUACAGUUCGGCUGUAGUGAAACCAGGUAAACUCUAUGCGGUGAAAUUUCAAGUAUAUCGACAUUUAAGGGUUACUCGUCCGUUGUCGAAGGGUAGAAAGAUAGAACUUGUGAGUAAUUACAAGUCUAGAUAAAUGAUAAGGCUCCGAUUAUUCGGAGACAGAAUCCGGCUUAUAGGUCUGCUUUUUUU